Pseudoliparis swirei is the source of this 1023-nucleotide long non-coding RNA. RefSeq lists it as uncharacterized. The record is from RefSeq and is a predicted model, not a curated record. The transcript is spliced from 2 exons. NCBI's taxonomy places the organism in Eukaryota, Metazoa, Chordata, Actinopteri, Perciformes, Liparidae.
GUUAGCAUCGUUAGCUCCUGGUCACCGGCUCAGUCGUCGCCAUGUUGAGAGCCGUGUGGAGUCAAUGGCUGUGUCUACUACCGCGCACUUGAGCACUUGGAUCACUGACUUUCAGUGUUCGAAGUGCGCCACUGAAAAAUCCAGCAGAAUUCAGUGCACUGAAAGUCCCCGGAUGGUGCACUGCAAACGGGCAAAACAUGUUGUGUAAAACGAUGGACACUACUCGCCCUAAGCGGCCGCCAUCUUGGCUACGUACCGGAAGAGGAGGAGCCCUUUCGCCAGCUUUUCAUUUUAUUUCUAAAACAAUGGCGGACAGCACAAGCGGUAGACCACGAAGCUACAGACCGUAAAUAGACGUUUCCUGGAGGUGCUGGUGCUGGUCCUCUGCUGCCCUCCCGACAUCUGGCUCCAAUGACCUCUGGCACCUCACAUCCACCUCCAGGGCCUUUAAGAAGAUGGACCGCCAUCGCGUCUUCAGUAUCCCGAAGGACCUCUCCACAACACACCUGGCCUUUGACAGGCAGCAGUUGUAGCUUGGAGGUGGACAGGCUGCCUGAAGGAGGUCAUGAGGCAGAUGGGUUGGGACAGGCAGGGGUAGCCACCAUCCCCAAGGAUACAGUAUCCUGGUGGAGGGGAUGACUGCUCAUAGAAGAUGGGGCUGUUAUUCAGGACCCUGGCAUCAUGCACUGAGCCCGGGGCCUGUCGAAGGCCCUGGCCACCACCCGAUAGGAGGUGGCGCUGGCAAGCCAAAAAAUAAAAACUAGACAGGAGAUCUCGGGGCCCCAACCGUGGUCAGUCAGUGCCCAGCACAGCCAUGAGGGCGUUGAAUGACUCUCGGUGAGCCUGAAGUCCACCCUCAUGUCACUGUGGCCAUCACAAUACAACGCCAGCAGUGGCAUUGCAACAUUGAUACGGCAGCGCCGCCUGGGACUGGGUGGCUGCUGUAGAGUGUGUGGGGAGGGGAGGGGAAGGGAAGAUUAUAUUAAUAUGUAAGUCAUUUUAUCAAUAAAAUGUUGUCAUUGA